AUGGGGGCAACCCUGAUCCAGCCAUGCCGCGUGAGUGAUGAAGGCCCUAGGGUCGUAAAGCUCUUUCGCCUGUGAAGAUAAUGACGGUAGCAGGUAAAGAAACCCCGGCUAACUCCGUGCCAGCAGCCGCGGUAAUACGGAGGGGGUUAGCGUUGUUCGGAAUUACUGGGCGUAAAGCGCACGUAGGCGGAUCGGAAAGUUGGGGGUGAAAUCCCGGGGCUCAACCCCGGAACUGCCUCCAAAACUAUCGGUCUAGAGUUCGAGAGAGGUGAGUGGAAUUCCGAGUGUAGAGGUGAAAUUCGUAGAUAUUCGGAGGAACACCAGUGGCGAAGGCGGCUCACUGGCUCGAUACUGACGCUGAGGUGCGAAAGUGUGGGGACUAAAGGGAUUAGAUACCCCUGUAGUCAAUCACUAGUGAAU
RNAcentral lists this ribosomal RNA (420 nucleotides) under uncultured bacterium. Its description in RNAcentral is "bacterial SSU rRNA". It matches the Rfam family "Bacterial small subunit ribosomal RNA", at positions 371 to 810 of the family's 1533-position model. The record is from RNAcentral.